GCGCCCGUAGCUCAGAAGGAUAGAGCGGUGGUUUCCUAAACCGCAGGUCGCAGGUUCGAUUCCUGCCGGGCGCA
RNAcentral lists this transfer RNA (74 nucleotides) under Planctomycetota bacterium. RNAcentral describes it as "Planctomycetes bacterium (bioreactor metagenome) tRNA-Arg". It matches the Rfam family "tRNA". Rfam says of the family: Transfer RNA (tRNA) molecules are approximately 80 nucleotides in length. The record is from RNAcentral. Lineage: Bacteria; Pseudomonadati; Planctomycetota.